UACGGCGGGGGCGAGCGUUAUUCGGAAUUAUUGGGCGUAAAGGGCGCGUAGGCGGCUUGAUGUGUCAAAGGUGAAAUCCCUCGGCUCAACCGAGGAACUGCGCUUAAAACUGUUGGACUCGAGGGAGAUAGAGGAAAGCGGAACUGAUGGUGGAGCGGUGAAAUGCGUUGAUAUCAUCAGGAACACCGGUGGCGAAGGCGGCUUUCUGGGUCUUACCUGACGCUGAGGAACGAAAGCUAGGGGAGCGAACGGG
This 253-nucleotide ribosomal RNA is filed under the name uncultured bacterium. RNAcentral describes it as "partial 16S ribosomal RNA". It matches the Rfam family "Bacterial small subunit ribosomal RNA", at positions 524 to 776 of the family's 1533-position model. The record is from RNAcentral.